UGUGAACGUUACCAAACUGUUGCCUCGGCGGGAUCUCUGCCCCGGGUGCGUCGCAGCCCCGGACCAAGGCGCCCGCCGGAGGACCAACCUAAAACUCUUAUUGUAUACCCCCUCGCGGGUUUUUUUUUAUAAUCUGAGCCUUCUCGGCGCCUCUCGUAGGCGUUUCGAAAAUGAAUCAAAACUUUCAACAACGGAUCUCUUGGUUCUGGCAUCGAUGAAGAACGCAGCGAAAUGCGAUAAGUAAUGUGAAUUGCAGAAUUCAGUGAAUCAUCGAAUCUUUGAACGCACAUUGCGCCCGCCAGUAUUCUGGCGGGCAUGCCUGUCCGAGCGUCAUUUCAACCCUCGAACCCCUCCGGGGGGUCGGCGUUGGGGAUCGGCCCUCCCUUAGCGGGUGGCCGUCUCCGAAAUACAGUGGCGGUCUCGCCGCAGCCUCUCCUGCGCAGUAGUUUGCACACUCGCAUCGGGAGCGCGGCGCGUCCACAGCCGUUAAACACCCAACUUCUGAAAUGUUGACCUCGGAUCAGGUAGGAAUACCCGCUGAACUUAAGCAU
RNAcentral lists this ribosomal RNA (551 nucleotides) under Trichoderma harzianum. RNAcentral's name for it is "eukaryotic LSU rRNA". The stretch from base 180 to 333 matches the Rfam family "5.8S ribosomal RNA". Lineage: Eukaryota; Fungi; Ascomycota; Sordariomycetes; Hypocreales; Hypocreaceae. The record is from RNAcentral.